Molecule: ribosomal RNA, 252 nt
Filed under: uncultured bacterium
Lineage: Bacteria
Description: partial 16S ribosomal RNA
Rfam family: Bacterial small subunit ribosomal RNA
Source: RNAcentral
CGGGGUGAGUAACGCGUGGAUAACCUGCCUUGCACUGAGGGAUAACACUUAGAAAUAGGUGCUAAAACCGCAUAAGCGCACAGCUUCGCAUGAAGCGGUGUGAAAAACUCCGGUGGUGUAAGAUGGACCCGCGUCUGAUUAGCUUGUUGGCGGGGUAACGGCCCACCAAGGCGACGAUCAGUAGCCGGCCUGAGAGGGCGGACGGCCACAUUGGGACUGAGACACGGCCCAGACUCCUACGGGAGGCAGCAG